UACAGAGGUCUCAAGCGUUGUUCGGAUUCAUUGGGCGUAAAGGGUGCGUAGGUGGCGGGGUAAGUCAGGUGUGAAAUCUCGGGGCUCAACCCCGAAACUGCACUUGAUACUGCCUUGCUUGAGUACUGGAGAGGAGAUUGGAAUUUACGGUGUAGCAGUGAAAUGCGUAGAUAUCGUAAGGAAGACCAGUGGCGAAGGCGAAUCUCUGGACAGUUACUGACACUGAGGCACGAAGGCCAGGGGGAGCAAACGGG
Molecule: ribosomal RNA, 254 nt
Filed under: uncultured bacterium
Lineage: Bacteria
Description: partial 16S ribosomal RNA
Rfam family: Bacterial small subunit ribosomal RNA
Source: RNAcentral